UACCAGUGUUCAGACGGUGGACCA
RNAcentral lists this non-coding RNA (24 nucleotides) under Arabidopsis thaliana (thale cress). Lineage: Eukaryota; Viridiplantae; Streptophyta; Magnoliopsida; Brassicales; Brassicaceae. The record is from RNAcentral.